CUCCUUAUGGCUAGAAGGCUGAAGAUAGUCUCAGUCCCUUGAGAGACUCCUCACUCAGAACCACAUCCAUCAUUAAUCAAGAAAACUCUCUACACACUUGCCUACAGACACUCUGAUAGAGGCAUUCUCUCAACUGAGAUUCCUCUUCCCAGGUUCAGAGGUUCGGUCAAUUAUCAUCAACAUGGGAACAUG
This is a long non-coding RNA of Mastomys coucha (southern multimammate mouse), 192 nucleotides long. RefSeq lists it as uncharacterized. The record is from RefSeq and is a predicted model, not a curated record. The transcript has 3 exons. Lineage: Eukaryota; Metazoa; Chordata; Mammalia; Rodentia; Muridae.